Non-coding RNA from Malus domestica (apple), 1384 nucleotides. The record is from RefSeq and is a predicted model, not a curated record. NCBI's taxonomy places the organism in Eukaryota, Viridiplantae, Streptophyta, Magnoliopsida, Rosales, Rosaceae.
AAUGUAUACAAUGACGCAGUGUCAGGAAUUUCCCGUGGAAUGUUGUAAUUCGAUUCCGCCGCCAUUGUUACAGUAAACAUUACAAGAAAAAUGGGCUUUAGGUACAAAAUAAAGGACACUAAUGAGAAGUUUGUGCCUAUCUAGGGUAGAACAGUGCUCAUUCAAUGAUGAGCCCCACGUAUUGUGCCCAAUAUAAAAAAAAAUUGGACACAAACACAUUAGUAGGCACUAAAACCAUGACUUUUGUGCCUUUAAUGUCCGUCCAGCUUGCAUUUGGCCUUUCAGAAAUUUAUUAUUAAUUUGCAAAGACACGAUAAAUGCUUCCGUGCCCUUUAAUUUAAUAUAUUUAAAUAAAAAGGAGAUUUUCGUGUCCUUUACAUAUUUACUUUUCCAAUCCCACACCUCACUCUCUUCGCCUUUCCUUUCUCUCUCUAUGUCCCUCUCUCUCUCUCUCUCUUUCUCUCUCUCUCUCUCUCUCUCUUUCUCUCUCUCUCUCUCUCCUUCUCUUAUAGUGGAUGGAUCUUCCUUCUUCGUCUCAACACCACUCUCUCUCUCUCCUUCUCUUAUAGUGGAUGGAUCUUCCUUCUUCGUCUCAACGCUGCUUCCAUCAAUAGCUUGACCUCCACUUGCUUGACUAGCCGACGGCACACCAUCCAUACUUGACAUGAGCUUUUGUUGUGGUCACUCCGAGAGCGAUGGGUUGGUUUUUUCCAUUUUGUUAAUUGGUAAUUUUUAGUUUAAUUUGUUUUUUUUUUUAAUUUUCGAUUUAAUUAUUUGCCUCCUAUUACCUUACGCUUGGUAAGGGUGUUGAUAUCGGAUCUCUUCAUUUGUUUCUUAAUUUAAGUUUUAUUUUUAAUGGGUUAAACAGGGUUUGAGUUAUAAUUAUUUGCGUCCUAUUACCUUACUCUUACUUAUUUGGCGUGUGGUGUUAUAGGAAACAAGGUCUGAGAGAAAUAUGUAGUAAUUUCGAAAGGAAGAUGGUGCAUGCAUCUUAAUUCUAAGAAGAGGAGAUUUGAAUAUGUAAAGUGCAUGUCUCCAAUUGCUCCGCUCUCUCAGUGCUUGGGUAUUAUAAAAAGCUUUCCGCUUUCAGAUUUAAGGUUUGAUUAUGUCUUAUAGUUAAUUGUCAUGCCCAUGACGAGGUGUACAUUUUUUUUCCAUUACACUUAUGUGUUCUAUCAAUUAAAGUCCAGACCAACUACUAAUCUCCUAAGUUCUUUGAAUUCCUGUUUGCUAAAGGUUGUAGGAAAUUGCCUAUUUUGAGAUAUUCUUUGAAUUCCUGUUCGUUUUAGCCCGACCCAUAGUUUUAUUGGUAUCUUGGACGUGCAUGUAAAACCAAGCUGAAUAUUUCUUACCAAUGGUAUUACUAUUUGAUUUUAUUUUGUAA